RNAcentral lists this small nuclear RNA (259 nucleotides) under Salvator merianae (Argentine black and white tegu). RNAcentral's name for it is "7SK RNA (ENSSMRG00000001586.1)". The stretch from base 1 to 175 matches the Rfam family "7SK RNA". Rfam says of the family: 7SK was discovered as an abundant small nuclear RNA in the mid-70s but a possible function has only recently been suggested. Two independent studies have found that 7SK RNA binds the CDK9/cyclin T complex (known as elongation factor P-TEFb). P-TEFb activates transcription by phosphorylating the C-terminal domain of RNA polymerase II. Lineage: Eukaryota; Metazoa; Chordata; Lepidosauria; Squamata; Teiidae. The record is from RNAcentral.
AGAUAUGAGAGUGAUCUGGCUGUGACAUCUGUCACUUCAGUGAUCACCAGGGUUAAUUUUGCUGGCUUAGUGGGAGUUCCCUUCCUUGCUUGCUGCUGUGCGGGCAUCUCUCCUGAAGCUGCUUGCUCAGUGGAAGAGGUCAGCUAUCCCAGACGGGGGCAUUAUUUAAUUUCAUAACCCAUCCCUGUUCAAAAACUCUUUGAAAUAAAUAACCCAGACCUAUCAAAGCUAAAACAGAUAAAAUGUUUUAUCUAUUCUU